Molecule: transfer RNA, 69 nt
Filed under: Rattus norvegicus (Norway rat)
Lineage: Eukaryota; Metazoa; Chordata; Mammalia; Rodentia; Muridae
Rfam family: tRNA
About the family: Transfer RNA (tRNA) molecules are approximately 80 nucleotides in length.
Source: Rfam by way of RNAcentral
GGGGAUUUGGCUCAGUGGUAGAGCACUUGCCUAGCAAGCGCAAGGCCCUGGGUUCAAUCCCCAGCUCCG